GGGGCCGACCUGGAUUCGACGCCGGUACUGAAUUCUGUGGUGCAUGCCGAGAAGGUCACGAGUCUCGUAAAUCAUUUGUGGCAC
Molecule: transfer-messenger RNA, 84 nt
Filed under: Alcanivorax borkumensis
Lineage: Bacteria; Pseudomonadati; Pseudomonadota; Gammaproteobacteria; Oceanospirillales; Alcanivoracaceae
Also listed under: 1 other name
Rfam family: transfer-messenger RNA
About the family: Bacterial tmRNA, also known as 10Sa RNA or SsrA, is named for its dual tRNA and mRNA-like properties. Its role is to liberate the mRNA from a stalled ribosome. To accomplish this part of the tmRNA is used as a reading frame that ends in a translation stop signal.
Source: RNAcentral